Molecule: small nuclear RNA, 107 nt
Organism: Molossus molossus (Pallas's mastiff bat)
Lineage: Eukaryota; Metazoa; Chordata; Mammalia; Chiroptera; Molossidae
Source: RefSeq, a predicted model, not a curated record
GUGCUCGCUACAGCAGCACUUACACUAGAAUUGGAACGAUACAGAGAAGAUCAGCAAGGCCCCUGCGCAAGGAUGACAUGCAAAUUCAUAAAGCAGUCCACAUUUAA